This is a long non-coding RNA of Sycon ciliatum, 1895 nucleotides long. RefSeq lists it as uncharacterized. NCBI's taxonomy places the organism in Eukaryota, Metazoa, Porifera, Calcarea, Leucosolenida, Sycettidae. The record is from RefSeq and is a predicted model, not a curated record. The transcript is spliced from 2 exons.
UCAUUUUUUUCGUGUGGAUAUACUCCUUUUCUAAGAAUUCGCAAACUCCAUUGCAGCCCUAUCCCCCCGCUUGUGACGGGAAAAAAUUGCAGCCCUAUCCCCUAGUAUGCAUUUACAAAUUACUUCUCUUAAGGAGGUUCGCGACGGUUAGCGCCAUGUUGGAUUUCCGAUUUUUUUUCUGAAAAAUAAUGCCUUUCGGAGUGGAAAAAUGGGACGCGAUCGAUCAUGCACAGAAAAUAGUUUGACCAUGACUUCGCAGCGCGUGCUCGAGUCGAGACAAAUUAUUUGAGGAAGAAGCUCAGCCACUAGUGGACUUGCGGAUUUGUUUUGACAUUGGCGGUUUUUGGAUAGCUCGGUUCUCCUGCCGACGUGUCGUGGAGAUGAAGACGCGGGAGAGUAAUCCGUCACCCACGACGCGGCCUCUCAUUCUGCGUACUGGACGAUGCAAGAAGCCGAGGAGGGGGACGCUUCGCAAACUCAAGCGAUCGAUCGAGUUCCUGAAAAACGGAAAGGGCGAUCUCCAUCACUAACGCCACUGGAUUCGACUCCCGUGAAGAGGUCGUUCAGUGCCCCUCUUCACGGUCGACGAAUCGUUCAUCUCAGGUAUCUGGCUGUGGGAUUGUCUGCGUGCCAGAAUCCUGGAUGUGGCAAACCUCUGGCGCUCAUUGAUUGCGUUGAAGAGAAGAGGUACGACCUGGGCAGCGUACUUGUCAUUCCGUGUCAGCAGUGUUGGAUGGAGAAUUUUAUAGAUACAGAUAGCCCUGUAACUGCUCAACACCCUGGCCCCCGUGCUUCCACAAGCAACACCAAAGCUGCUUUGGGUAAGUGCGUUUUUCAAUCUCAUAAGAUUUAUUUAUGAUAUUUGCGAGUCAUUGCCACCCUAUGGCUAUGGAAAUGUAUGAGCACACUGUAUGCGCGGCGGCCGCGAGUGUCUGUGUGUUUGCAUAGACCUGCAUGUUUGUGCAUGUGUGCACCAUACGCAUGUAUGAACAUGCACAUGCAUAUGCGCUCAUGUGGACGUGCCCUCGCACACAUACUAUACACACGUGCAUGACCGCUCCCAGGGCAUGUUGGUGUGACAUGUGUAUGCAGGCAUCUCCACUCAUGCAUGUGGGUGGGUACGCACACAUGCGUGAAUGUAUGUGUGUGUACGCGCGCGUGUGUUCUAUUGCGUGUGAGAGCAUGCAUGUGUGUGUGUGUGUGUGUGUGUGUGUGUGUGUGUGUGUGUGUGUGUGUGUGUGUGUGUGUGUGUGUGUGUGUGUAUGUGUGCACGGAUGUGUGUGUCGAUGGUGUGCAUUUUUGUGAUUGGUGAACACUCUGAUCCGUAAACCGCGAUACCGGAGCUCCCAAGCUACAGCCUCAGAUUGAUUUAUAGUUCAUCGUUGGGAAUGAGUUCGCUGCUCAUGAUGCUGUUGCGGAUGUUGCGGCCCUAGCUGAAAUUGUCGAAGCUCGCCCUGAUGCCAGUAUCCUGUAGCACUCUGUCACUUUUGCAUCAGCAUGUUCGGCGAUGGAGUUUGCAGAACAUCAGCAAAAGCGGGUGGCCACCCUUCAACCGUUGGUCCAAGCAACGUGCUUCUCUAAGUCAGUUGCAGUGCGGGCAGCUGCAAGUGGGUUGGUGAUGAAGCACUUUGUCUUGUCCUACAAACGAAGUGGUGAGCCAGCCAUUUCCAGACUGAUGAAGGAGCAAGUCGGAGGAAAUGACGACCUGGAUCCCAUCGUCAACCAAAGUGUACAUUUUUCGGUGUUGAUAUCAUCUUAGUCAAUACCUCGAACAGUCUGUAAAAUUUUAUGUCAUAUUUUCUGUCCUAACUGAUGUUAUGGACGAUUUCUCAUCAAUUUUGGGAUUUUGUGUUAUUUUGUGUCAUCAAGGAAAAUUGUGUUUUUGGCAAGACCUA